UACGUAGGGUGCAAGCGUUUGUCCGGAAUUAUUGGGCGUAAAGAGCUCGUAGGCGGUUUGUCGCGUCGGCUGUGAAAACCUGGGGCUCAACCCCGGGCCUGCAGCCGAUACGGGCAAACUAGAAUUCGGUAGGGGAGACUGGAAUUCCUGGUGUAGCGGUGAAAUGCGCAGAUAUCAGGAGGAACACCGGUGGCGAAGGCGGGUCUCUGGGCCGAUAUUGACGCUGAGGAGCGAAAGCGUGGGGAGCAAACAGG
RNAcentral lists this ribosomal RNA (254 nucleotides) under uncultured bacterium. RNAcentral's name for it is "partial 16S ribosomal RNA". It matches the Rfam family "Bacterial small subunit ribosomal RNA", at positions 524 to 776 of the family's 1533-position model. The record is from RNAcentral.